CGCUGGCGGCACGCUUAACACAUGCAAGUCGAACGAAGUAGCAAUACUUAGUGGCAGACGGGUGAGUACAAUGUGGGAAUCUGCCUUUUGGUUCGGAAUAACUCGGGGAAACUUGAGCUAAUACUGGAUAAGCCCUUACGGGGAAAGCUUUAUGCGCCGAAAGAUGAGCCCACACUUGAUUAGCUUGUUGGUGAGGUAAAAGCUCACCAAGGCAACGAUCAAUAGCUGUUCUUAGAGGAAGACCAGCCACAUUGGGACUGAGACACGGCCCAGACUCCUACGGGAGGCAGCAGUGGGGAAUCUUGCACAAUGGGGGAAACCCUGAUGCAGCGAUGCCGCGUGAGUGAAGAAGGCCUUUGGGUUGUAAAACUCUUUCGUCGGGGAAGAAAAUGACUGUACCCGAAUAAGAAGGUCCGGCUAACUUCGUGCCAGCAGCCGCGGUAAUACGAAGGGACCUAGCGUAGUUCGGAAUUACUGGGCUUAAAGAGCUCGUAGGUGGUUAAAGAAGUUGGUGGUGAAAGCCCAAGGCUUAACCUUGGAACUGCCAUCAAAACUUUUUAGCUAGAGUGUGAUAGAGGAAAGUGGAAUUUCUAGUGUAGAGGUGAAAUUCGUAGAUAUUAGAAAGAACACCAAAAGCGAAGGCAACUUUCUGGAUCACUACUGACACUGAGGAGCGAAAGCAUGGGUAGCGAAGAGGAUUAGAUACCCUCGUAGUCCAUGCUGUAAACGAUGUGUGCUAGACGUUGGAAAUUUAUUUUCAGUGUCGCAGCAAAAGCGUUAAGCACACCGCCUGGGGAGUACGACCGCA
Molecule: ribosomal RNA, 808 nt
Filed under: uncultured Pelagibacteraceae bacterium
Lineage: Bacteria; Pseudomonadati; Pseudomonadota; Alphaproteobacteria; Candidatus Pelagibacterales; Candidatus Pelagibacteraceae
Description: bacterial SSU rRNA
Rfam family: Bacterial small subunit ribosomal RNA
Source: RNAcentral